Non-coding RNA from Pimephales promelas (fathead minnow), 2183 nucleotides. NCBI's taxonomy places the organism in Eukaryota, Metazoa, Chordata, Actinopteri, Cypriniformes, Leuciscidae. The record is from RefSeq and is a predicted model, not a curated record.
CUUGCGAGCUUUACACUCUCUGAAGAAGAAAAGAGAAAAAAUGAUAAAAAGAAGAAGACAAUGUAGGGGGAGGGAGCGAAUCAGAAUAUUAUGGAUUGAUACAAAUAGUCGCUUGCGCCAACCCUCAGCCAGAGUUGAAUUAAUGUGUUACUAUUUUUGGAACGCCUGUGUUUCCAGGGGAAACCUAAUGACGCAAUGACGUCAAUGCAGGUCAACAGCAGACUGGAGGAAUUGAGCGCUUCCAUUAGAUUUUGCAGUAUUUUCCAGAAACGCGGAAAGGACAAAAUGGAUUAGUUUAAAAUGUAUGAAAACAUCAGAGUGUAAUUUGAAAACAUUAAAGAUCAUUGUGAGUGGAGCACAUUCGAAUCUAUCGGAAUUAUUAUUACAAAAAAAAAAGAAAAAGAAAAAGAUCUCGUCUUCCUUGAAGCAUCGCUUACACGAUUGCAAGCACCUGUGUUUGUAUCAUCGGUGUGACGAAACCCCCUUCUUUCCCCAUCUCUUCCCCAAACUGUGGGUGUGUGCAGCACAGGGCGUUCACCACGGCGGAUAUAUACGAAGCUGAUUUCCAGGUCCCUGUCUUGUCCUUUUCAGGUCUUUUUGCGGUCUGGGCUUGCUGUUCCUUGAACCAGUAGCCAGGAAGCCCUUACCCCAAAAAGUAUCUGCAGAGGACCACAUCAUCUUAACAGAUAUAUCAAGCUCUCAAAAUUUCCACCAAACACAGAUUACUGACAAAAACUGUCCUUUUUGCAUAACUAGAAAUCUUUUCACAUUUAAAAGCAAAGCAUUUCUAAAUCAACAUGGUACAUUAGGCUAUUUUUACAUAGUAUGGUGGGAAGAUUUACAGACCUUGUACGUUUAAAUAUAAAAUUUGACUUCCUACCACAAAUGUGAUGUACAAGAUGAACUGUGAUGCAUUUAGCAAAUUCAAUCUGAAAACAACCAGAUCUUAACGUUUACUUGUUGGGCGGAGUAACUGAUGCUGCGGAGUUCGAUUAUAUUAAUGUGUAAGAAAUCAAUUCAAACUAUAAGGCCUGUUUUAUUUAGCAAAAGAUCCAUCUCAAAAAGUCUAAUAAAAUGGACCAUUCCAUCAAUAUUGAUAAAUGCUGCACUAGUUUCUUAAACAUGAAACAGUACAUUAAUAUAUAAAACAUUUUUCAGUUGGAUUUUAUUGUUUGUCGGUCUAUACAAACCAACCUGACAUUUAUUAGCCUAUAUAAAAGUGUUUUGUUCAUUUUAACAUUGAUUUUCUCUGCCCUGUAUGGAUGGAGAAAUAUAUUAAUCGCAUAUCCAUUACCUUUCUCCUUCCUUUAAAAUUAUUUAAUAAUCUUUUUUUUUUUUAAAGACUGCCAUGUCAUUCAUAUAAUGCAUACUGUACAAUGGAAAAGUACUGAAAGGAACAUUCAAGAAACAGCUUAAAUGGGCCAAAAGACCUUAUUAAUGGCAACCAUAUGACAGUUGGGUAUUCAUCAGGUCCAUGGGCAUCUUGCUAUUGUGCUUUUUUGCCAAGAGCAUUUAUCCCCAUAACUUCCUGCCCAUUCACCAGGACACCAGCUGAGUGCUUUGGCCACGUGACUCUACUGUCCUCAGGCCUUUCUGUUGUUUCCGUUCUUGUCUUGGAGAUCAUGCACUCCACAAAAAGGGAGACCAUAUGCUUGACAGACUGUUUAAAUAAGGCUCACCCAAAUUAAGAUUUAAUAAAUAUGUGUAUCAAGUCUCUGUUUAGCAGGAGAGUGGAACCAGAGAGAAAAAAAAAAUUGUAAAGAUAAGGUUUGUGAUAUUACUUCAAAUUGGGAACUUAGAGAUGGUAAUCUUAUUAUUCAAAGUAUUCCUUGUUUCUUUUUUUAAUAAACACACAGUCCUUUCUAUACUGAUGACGGUGUGACCCUCAUAUUGGAGACGGGGUUAGUCCAUUUGAAUUAUGAUCCAAAAACAUGGCACACAAUUUGUGUCACCAUUUAGCCUUGGGAAAUGGAGCAGUGCUCCGCUGAUGUCACCAGCGUAGGACGUACUGUUGUGGAGCCGCUUUUUUUGGGGUCUCCAACGGUCUAUUGUAGACUUUGUAAGGAGUUUUGAAUUUGCUCAUAAAGGUUUUAAUUUAAUCAAUGAUUUAAUUAAUGGUAUUUUGUUAGAAAGGUUUUAAAUGUAACCAAAAGUUGCUAUUAAAAUAUUGAUGUUCGGUGUAU